Molecule: ribosomal RNA, 580 nt
Filed under: uncultured bacterium
Lineage: Bacteria
Description: partial 16S ribosomal RNA
Rfam family: Bacterial small subunit ribosomal RNA
Source: RNAcentral
UGGGGAAUUUUGGACAAUGGGCGAAAGCCUGAUCCAGCAAUGCCGCGUGUGUGAAGAAGGCCUUCGGGUUGUAAAGCACUUUUGUCCGGAAAGAAAUCCUUGGCUCUAAUACAGUCGGGGGAUGACGGUACCGGAAGAAUAAGCACCGGCUAACUACGUGCCAGCAGCCGCGGUAAUACGUAGGGUGCAAGCGUUAAUCGGAAUUACUGGGCGUAAAGCGUGCGCAGGCGGUUUGCUAAGACCGAUGUGAAAUCCCCGGGCUCAACCUGGGAACUGCAUUGGUGACUGGCAGGCUAGAGUAUGGCAGAGGGGGGUAGAAUUCCACGUGUAGCAGUGAAAUGCGUAGAGAUGUGGAGGAAUACCGAUGGCGAAGGCAGCCCCCUGGGCCAAAUACUGACGCUCAUGCACGAAAGCGUGGGGAGCAAACAGGAUUAGAUACCCUGGUAGUCCACGCCCUAAACGAUGUCAACUAGUUGUUGGGGAUUCAUUUCCUUAGUAACGUAGCUAACGCGUGAAGUUGACCGCCUGGGGAGUACGGUCGCAAGAUUAAAACUCAAAUGAAUUGACGGGGUCAUAGCUG